CAGGGCAGAAUACAAAGCUUUGUCUGAAAGCCAAGAAAAAAACUCAAACCAACUUAAAAAGGCUCAAAGAACAAUCAUAAAACUUAACUUGGCUGCAAAGGAAGGUUUAUCUAGAAGAUAAAAUACAAUCAGAGAAAGGGAGAUAAACAAAAUUUUCACUUGUUUCAGGUUCCAUGACCACCAAACAGUCUUUUCUUUUGUCACAGGGUUGUGUCUGGAGGUAGAAACAACAACAACAACAACAUAUAACAAGUCCAAGAGAAAUUUUGCCCAGAUCCACACUUGCAUGCCAGAUGGCAGCUGCGGAGGAGUUUCAAGUUCUAGCAGCAAUGGAUGGGAAGAUAAGUGCCUCUUGAGAAGGGGAAGCCAGAUUGCAGAUUCCUUUCAAUUGCACCUGAUGACUUAUUGCCAGUUACUAAUUGGUUUGCCCAUACGCAGGCAAUUCAGAAUCCAGCAGCAAUGCCUGAAUUUGUCUGGAGCUCUGUUCUUCCUGCAGAGAUCACUGCUGAAAUAAAUCCUUGCAGAGAAAAAUAUUUUAUAUGAAGCUCUGGGAAAAGCACACAUAAAGUGUGUGGGGGUUGUUUGGUUUGGUUUUUUGUUUGUUUGGUUUUUGUUUUGUUUUACUUUUUGUAACUGCUGUGUCAAGAUUUUUUUGAUUUUUUUCCUUCAGGAGAGCCACAAAAUCUUGUGUAACUGUCAUUGUUAGUUAUUACUGCAAAAUAGUGUAGCUGGCUGUGUUGUGCUAACAGUUGACAAUAUAUGCAUAUUUAAAACAGAGACAGAAAUGAUAAGUAGAGCUUUGUCUAUUUUUCAUUAAAGAUAAGAAUGUUUUCAUAAAAAUCUUCCUUUCCCACAUAUUUCUGAGUGCAUUUUCAUUUUAGUCCUGGGUGGGGCACUUUACUUACUUUGACAGCAGCCUGAGAACCAAGCGAUCCAGCUAUGAAAAGCACAGAAUAACUCAGGAAGGAGAAACUGCUGGUUAUUUUCACCACUUGAAGGCCAUGAGCAGC
Long non-coding RNA from Vidua chalybeata, 1010 nucleotides. RefSeq lists it as uncharacterized. The transcript has 3 exons. The record is from RefSeq and is a predicted model, not a curated record. NCBI's taxonomy places the organism in Eukaryota, Metazoa, Chordata, Aves, Passeriformes, Viduidae.